RNAcentral lists this ribosomal RNA (497 nucleotides) under uncultured bacterium. RNAcentral's name for it is "partial 16S ribosomal RNA". It matches the Rfam family "Bacterial small subunit ribosomal RNA", at positions 28 to 507 of the family's 1533-position model. The record is from RNAcentral.
GAUGAACGCUGGCGGCGUGCCUAAUACAUGCAAGUCGAGCGAACAGACGAGGAGCUUGCUCCUCUGGCGUUAGCGGCGGACGGGUGAGUAACACGUGUAUAACCUACCUAUAAGACUGGGAUAACUUCGGGAAACCGGAGCUAAUACCGGAUAAUAUAUUGAACCGCAUGGUUCAAUAGUGAAAGACGGUUUUGCUGUCACUUAUAGAUGGAUCCGCGCCGCAUUAGCUAGUUGGUAAGGUAACGGCUUACCAAGGCAACGAUGCGUAGCCGACCUGAGAGGGUGAUCGGCCACACUGGAACUGAGACACGGUCCAGACUCCUACGGGAGGCAGCAGUAGGGAAUCUUCCGCAAUGGGCGAAAGCCUGACGGAGCAACGCCGCGUGAGUGAUGAAGGUCUUCGGAUCGUAAAACUCUGUUAUUAGGGAAGAACAAAUGUGUAAGUAACUAUGCACGUCUUGACGGUACCUAAUCAGAAAGCCACGGCUAACUACGUG